CAGGAGGAUAGCCCGGGGAAACUCGGAUUAAUACUCCAUAAGAUUUUGAUUGGCAUCGAUUAAAAUUGAAAGAUUUAUUGGAUAAGGAUAGGCAUGCGUCAGAUUAGUUAGUUGGUAGUGUAACGGACUACCAAGGCGAUGAUCUGUAGGGGGCCUGAGAGGGUGAACCCCCACACUGGUACUGAGACACGGACCAGACUCCUACGGGAGGCAGCAGUGAGGAAUAUUGGACAAUGGAGGGAACUCUGAUCCAGCCAUCCCGCGUGCAGGAAGACGGCCCUAUGGGUUGUAAACUGCUUUUGUAUGGGGAUAAAUCUACUUACGUGUAGGUAGUUGAAGGUACCAUACGAAUAAGCAUCGGCUAACUCCGUGCCAGCAGCCGCGGUAAUACGGAGGAUGCAAGCGUUAUCCGGAUUCAUUGGGUUUAAAGGGUCCGUAGGCGGGCUGAUAAGUCAGUGGUGAAAUUUUGUCGCUCAACGAUAAAACUGCCAUUGAUACUGUUAGUCUUGAGUGAUAUUGAAGUAGCUGGAAUGUGUAGUGUAGCGGUGAAAUGCAUAGAUAUUACACAGAACACCGAUUGCGAAGGCAGGUUACUAAGUAUUAACUGACGCUGAAGGACGAAAGCGUGGGGAGCGAACAGGAUUAGAUACCCUGGUAGU
RNAcentral lists this ribosomal RNA (659 nucleotides) under Ornithobacterium rhinotracheale. Its description in RNAcentral is "bacterial SSU rRNA". It matches the Rfam family "Bacterial small subunit ribosomal RNA", at positions 136 to 794 of the family's 1533-position model. The record is from RNAcentral. Lineage: Bacteria; Pseudomonadati; Bacteroidota; Flavobacteriia; Flavobacteriales; Weeksellaceae.